GAAUUUUGGACAAUGGGCGAAAGCCUGAUCCAGCAAUGCCGCGUGCAGGAUGAAGGCCUUCCGGUUGUAAACUGCUUUUGUACGGAACGAAAAGCUUUGGGUUAAUCACACCGAGUCAUGAAGCAACCGUUAGAAUACGUACCGGCUAACUAAGUGCCAGCAGCCGCGGUAAUACGUAUGGUGCAAGCGUUAAUCGUAAUUACUAGGCGUAAAGCGUGCGCAGGAGGUUUUGUGAGACAGAGGUGAAAUCCCCGGGCUCAACCUGGGAACUGCCUUUGUGACUGCAAGGCUAGAGUACGGCAGAGGGGGGUGGAAUUCCGCGUGUAGCAGUGAAAUGCGUAGAUAUGCGGAGGAACACCGAUGGCGAAGGCAACCCCCUGGGCCUGUACUGACGAUCAUGCACGAAAGCGUGGGGAGCAAACA
Molecule: ribosomal RNA, 423 nt
Filed under: uncultured bacterium
Lineage: Bacteria
Description: partial 16S ribosomal RNA
Rfam family: Bacterial small subunit ribosomal RNA
Source: RNAcentral